GCGCAUCAGGAGGUUGCAUACAUUGCCCUCGAGCAGCUAAAAUUACAGGAAGAAAGCACAGAUGAACCAUCAAGCUCAGACAUACAGCCCGAGGCCUCCUCUUCAUCUUCCUCAGGAAUCACUUUCUUUGGUAAAGUGACUGUGGAUCUCAAUCGAGAAGUUGAGUCUGAUAGAUGCUCUUCAAAGGAAGAAGCGACUGAAGCAGCUUAUAAGGUUUUAUGGGAAAGUUUUCGCAUCAGUGCUCCAUUAGAAGGUCAGACUUACAAGUCAGUGACGAUGGAAUAUUUCAACACAAAUGGCUUCCCAAAACCAAUAGAAGAUUUUGAUGCCAACACAACCAUCUGCAAGCUCAAACUCAUUGGGCUUUUCACUUUUUAUGACAAAGAUGGCUCCACCAAGAAGAAACAGGCAGAGCAACAGGCAGCUAAAGUCGCUCUGCAGCAUCUGUCAGGGAUCCUCAACUGUGCUCCAAUAUCAGAUACUGAGAAGAACUUCAAAGGUGUUCUGAAGGAGCAUCUAGAGACGCUGGGUCUCAAAAAUCCUGUUUACGACACAGAUAAUAAAGCAGAGGCCAGUGAAGAGCCCAUCGACAUCAGCUCGGACCUGAUUACUUCUACAGUAUCCAUCAGUCAGGCAGAAGUGAAAGAUCACUCAGAGUCUGAAAUCAUCUCAUCAUCUCCAUCUUGCCAAGAGUCAGUCUGUGUUCCUGUUCCUGUGCAGCCGGACCCUCCAGACUCCAGCUCUCCAGCCUCACAGAGGAAAAAGCCCAGGAGUGA
This 776-nucleotide long non-coding RNA is filed under the name Sinocyclocheilus anshuiensis. RNAcentral describes it as "lncRNA (ENSSANG00000023307.1)". Lineage: Eukaryota; Metazoa; Chordata; Actinopteri; Cypriniformes; Cyprinidae. The record is from RNAcentral.